RNAcentral lists this long non-coding RNA (687 nucleotides) under Aquilegia coerulea. RNAcentral describes it as "long non-coding RNA (ACOE_LNC001761)". Lineage: Eukaryota; Viridiplantae; Streptophyta; Magnoliopsida; Ranunculales; Ranunculaceae. The record is from RNAcentral.
UUGACACUGUAGUAAGGUCCCAACAACUCCAAUUUUGCAGCAAAUCUUCCCAGACAUCCCUUAGUUACAUUGCUUAGAUAAACCAAAGGUGUAUUACCAAUCAACUGAUCAAACAAAAGAAACAGAAAAGUAUUGAGUUUUCAAUAAAAAAACAAACCUCAUCAACAGGAGCAUCAAUUUUCAAUCUUCCAACCAACACAAAACAAUUUAAACCCCAACCAUGCCAACCAAAAUCCUAGAAAUCUCAAACAGAAAUGAUUUUCAAAACUAAAAGAAUGAAGAAAAAUUAAAUCGUAAAUCUGAAUCCUAAGAAACAUACGUAAAAUCUCUGAAUCUUAUUUGCCGUUACUAAGCUAGAGCAAAAGCCAGAGAUGGACUCUUAUUUGACGAAGAACGUUUGUUUCAAUUAUUAAAUAAUCCAAUGAAGCUUCAAAAGGAAACAUCAAGAGCUACUGUAAAUGGAUCAAUCAAAAGAGAGGUUAAAUUUCUACUUUGUUUGGGAAAUCUAGCAAAGUCUGUUCGAAAUAAUUAAAGAGAUGCUGACGGAGUGCUAGGAUCACUCACUAUGAUGAAUUUUGAGAACAUCCUAUGAUACAAAAUGGGUUAUUCCUGACGGAGUGGUAGGAUCACUCACCAUGAUGAUACGUGUAAUCUAUUUAUUACCUAUUAAAAUAUCGUACCAAUUAC